GUCGAGCGAACAGACGAGGAGCUUGCUCCUCUGACGUUAGCGGCGGACGGGUGAGUAACACGUGGAUAACCUACCUAUAAGACUGGGAUAACUUCGGGAAACCGGAGCUAAUACCGGAUAAUAUAUUGAACCGCAUGGUUCAAUAGUGGAAGACGGUUUUGCUGUCACUUAUAGAUGGAUCCACGCCGCAUUAGCUAGUUGGUAAGGUAACGGCUUACCAAGGCAACGAUGCGUAGCCGACCUGAGAGGGUGAUCGGCCACACUGGAACUGAGACACGGUCCAGACUCCUACGGGAGGCAGCAGUAGGGAAUCUUCCGCAAUGGGCGAAAGCCUGACGGAGCAACGCCGCGUGAGUGAUGAAGGUCUUCGGAUCGUAAAACUCUGUUAUUAGGGAAGAGCAAAUGUGUAAGUAACUAUGCACGUCUUGACGGUACCUAAUCAGAAAGCCACGGCUAACUACGUGCCAGCAGCCGCGGUAAUACGUAGGUGGCAAGCGUUAUCCGGAAUUAUUGGGCGUAAAGCGCGCGUAGGCGGUUUUUUAAGUCUGAUGUGAAAGCCCACGGCUCAACCGUGGAGGGUCAUUGGAAACUGGAAAACUUGAGUGCAGAAGAGGAAAGUGGAAUUCCACGUGUAGCGGUGAAAUGCGCAGAGAUAUGGAGGAACACCAGUGGCGAAGGCGACUUUCUGGUCUGUAACUGACGCUGAUGUGCGAAAGCGUGGGGAUCAA
Molecule: ribosomal RNA, 728 nt
Filed under: uncultured Staphylococcus sp.
Lineage: Bacteria; Bacillati; Bacillota; Bacilli; Caryophanales; Staphylococcaceae
Description: bacterial SSU rRNA
Rfam family: Bacterial small subunit ribosomal RNA
Source: RNAcentral